AACGAACGCUGGCGGCGCGCCUAAUACAUGCAAGUCGAGCGAGAAGGUGUAGCAAUACACUUGUAAAGCGGCGAACGGGUGAGGAAUGCAUGGGUAACCUACCCUCGAGUGGGGAAUAACUAGCCGAAAGGUUAGCUAAUACCGCAUACGUUUCCGGAACUUCGGUUUCGGAAAGAAAGCAAUACCGUGGGUAUUGCGCUCCUGGAUGGGCUCAUGUCCUAUCAGCUUGUUGGUGAGGUAACGGCUCACCAAGGCUUCGACGGGUAGCUGGUCUGAGAGGACGAUCAGCCACACUGGCACUGCGACACGGGCCAGACUCCUACGGAGGCAGCAGUAAGGAAUAUUGCGCAAUGGACGAAAGUCUGACGCAGCG
RNAcentral lists this ribosomal RNA (373 nucleotides) under uncultured bacterium. RNAcentral's name for it is "bacterial SSU rRNA". It matches the Rfam family "Bacterial small subunit ribosomal RNA", at positions 29 to 393 of the family's 1533-position model. The record is from RNAcentral.